Molecule: long non-coding RNA, 658 nt
Filed under: Marmota monax (woodchuck)
Lineage: Eukaryota; Metazoa; Chordata; Mammalia; Rodentia; Sciuridae
Source: RNAcentral
UGUAAAUGCACCACUCCAGACGUGGAGUGCAACCCGGGCUCCGAGUGCCAGUCAGGCUGCGUCUUCAUGCCCCAGAGGAAGAGGCCUCCCUGUCUGUGCCUGCUCAGGCUGUUGCAGCAGAACACCGCGGAUGGGGUAGCUCCUCAGCAGCAGGCCUGCUCCUAGGUCUGAAGGCCGGGAAGUCUGCAGUCAAGGCUCUGGCAGAGGUGGUGUCUGGUGAGGGUGUCCUGGCAGAUAAACGGCACCUUCACACUGGCACGAAGGAGGGGCCUGGGAGCUCUUGGGGUCCCCUUUGGUCCCAACACAGAGAUCUACCCUUGUGACCUAGUCACCUCCUAAAAUCAUCAUCUUGAGGGAGAGGCUCCAACAUGACUUUUGGGGACACGACAUUCAGACGAGAGCACUGAUUACCUUCCCCGUCCUUCUCUACCGCGUCUCUGCUCCUCUGCCUGCCUGCACCGCUGCUGUCACUGUUAAUCCUCUCCUGGAGCUGUCCUCCUCUCCAGUGAGUGGAAAGGAACUGAAAGGUCCUUCCCCCACCUCUGACCUCACUUCCACUCUUAGCAACCUAGAGUAGUCACUGCUCCAUGGAAGGUUCGCUGCGGCCGCUGUUCACGUCAGGCUGAGUGCUGGCCAUCAUGUCCAGCAUCUGGCCUCC